This 403-nucleotide ribosomal RNA is filed under the name Erwinia sp. WXBSY3. Its description in RNAcentral is "bacterial SSU rRNA". It matches the Rfam family "Bacterial small subunit ribosomal RNA", at positions 1072 to 1476 of the family's 1533-position model. Lineage: Bacteria; Pseudomonadati; Pseudomonadota; Gammaproteobacteria; Enterobacterales; Erwiniaceae. The record is from RNAcentral.
AUCUUGGUAAACCUCCCGCAUCGAGCGCAACCCUUAUCCUUUGUUGCCAGCGGUUCGGCCGGGAACUCAAAGGAGACUGCCGGUGAUAAACCGGAGGAAGGUGGGGAUGACGUCAAGUCAUCAUGGCCCUUACGGCCAGGGCUACACACGUGCUACAAUGGCGCAUACAAAGAGAAGCGACCUCGCGAGAGCAAGCGGACCUCAUAAAGUGCGUCGUAGUCCGGAUUGGAGUCUGCAACUCGACUCCAUGAAGUCGGAAUCGCUAGUAAUCGUAGAUCAGAAUGCUACGGUGAAUACGUUCCCGGGCCUUGUACACACCGCCCUUCACACCAUGGGAGUGGGUUGCAAAAGAAGUAGGUAGCUUAACCUUCGGGAGGGCGCUUACCAACUUUGAUCCAUAUCU